UCGGGUGCGUGGGUGCUAUGGUCCACAUUCGAAAAUUUUAACCCUAAACCACUCCGUAAUAAUCGGAGGUGUCCUAUUAAAUGUGGGUUUAGAUAUGGUUUGCUUUUCCCGGGUUUUCCUUUGACCCAUUUCUAAAAAUGGAAAACCCGAUGCCCCGAGCGUUUGUGGAUUCAUAGUAGUGGUUUAACCCGGAGUUGACUCGAAGGUUGGGCACUGCUUGACUUGUUUCGAACAAGUCUUCACGGUCCCUUUAUUCCUCGUCUCUCAAGCGCACCCAUCUUUU
Molecule: non-coding RNA, 283 nt
Filed under: Chrysanthemum seticuspe
Lineage: Eukaryota; Viridiplantae; Streptophyta; Magnoliopsida; Asterales; Asteraceae
Source: RNAcentral